RNAcentral lists this long non-coding RNA (612 nucleotides) under Nothobranchius furzeri (turquoise killifish). Its description in RNAcentral is "lncRNA (ENSNFUG00015001594.1)". The record is from RNAcentral. Lineage: Eukaryota; Metazoa; Chordata; Actinopteri; Cyprinodontiformes; Nothobranchiidae.
AUGUUGUAUUUUCCAAUUCUACAGGUGAUCAGUGAAACCAUGCUGAAGGUAUUAUUACUGCUGGGAUGCCUCAUGUGCCUCACCCUGGCUGAUUCUAUAGCUCAACGAGGGAAACGCCCACAACAUGGAGGCCCCCCAAAUGGAGGCCCCCCUCAUCGAGGCCCCCCAAAUGGAGGUCCCCCACAUCGAGGCCCCCCAAAUGGAGGCCCCCCUCAUCGAGGCCCCCCUCAUGAGGUAUCUUGCUAUUUUAAAGUGACAUCACAUUUUGCUACUCAAAGGUUUUUAGGAAACCAUUUAUUGUGCAUAUUAUUAUAUUUAUAUAAUUAUAAAUAUUCCUGGUUUUGUCGCAGGGCCAUAAACACCAUCACAGCAAUGAGGAUCCUUCUCUGAACCAACCAUCUACUACAACAACUACAGCUCCAGCUACAACAACUACAGCUCCAACUACAACAACUGUGGCUCCAACUACAACAACUGUGGCUCCAACUACAACUACCACAGCUGCUACUACAACUGUGGCUCCAACUACAACUACCACAGCUGCUACUACAACUGUGGCUCCAACUACAACUACCACAGCUGCUACUACAACUGUGGCUCCAACUACAACAA